Molecule: ribosomal RNA, 78 nt
Filed under: Porphyromonas gingivalis
Lineage: Bacteria; Pseudomonadati; Bacteroidota; Bacteroidia; Bacteroidales; Porphyromonadaceae
Source: RNAcentral
UCAGGUGGUUAUAACGUUGGGGAUCCACCUCUUCCCAUUCCGAACAGAGAAGUUAAGCCCAACGGUGCCGAUGGUACU